Molecule: ribosomal RNA, 253 nt
Filed under: uncultured bacterium
Lineage: Bacteria
Description: partial 16S ribosomal RNA
Rfam family: Bacterial small subunit ribosomal RNA
Source: RNAcentral
GACGUAGGGCGCGAGCGUUGUCCGGAUUUAUUGGGCGUAAAGAGCUCGUAGGCGGCUUGUCGCGUCUGCUGUGAAAUUUCGGGGCUCAACCCCGAACUUGCAGUGGGUACGGGCAGACUAGAGUGUGGUAGGGGAGACUGGAAUUCCUGGUGUAGCGGUGAAAUGCGCAGAUAUCAGGAGGAACACCGAUGGCGAAGGCAGGUCUCUGGGCCAUAACUGACGCUGAGAAGCGAAAGCAUGGGGAGCGAACAGG